GACGCCCGGGCUUCGGCCUGGUUAUUCAUAACCCUUUGUUGUCCGACUCUGUUGCCUCCGGGGCGACCCUGCCUUCGGGCGGGGGCUCCGGGUGGACACUUCAAACUCUUGCGUAACUUUGCAGUCUGAGUAAACUUAAUUAAUAAAUUAAAACUUUUAACAACGGAUCUCUUGGUUCUGGCAUCGAUGAAGAACGCAGCGAAAUGCGAUAAGUAAUGUGAAUUGCAGAAUUCAGUGAAUCAUCGAAUCUUUGAACGCACAUUGCGCCCCCUGGUAUUCCGGGGGGCAUGCCUGUUCGAGCGUCAUUUCACCACUCAAGCCUCGCUUGGUAUUGGGCAACGCGGUCCGCCGCGUGCCUCAAAUCGUCCGGCUGGGUCUUCUGUCCCCUAAGCGUUGUGGAAACUAUUCGCUAAAGGGUGUUCGGGAGGCUACGCCGUAAAACAACCCCAUUUCUAAGGUUGACCUCGGAUCAGGUAGGGAUACCCGCUGAACUUAAGCAUAU
Molecule: ribosomal RNA, 502 nt
Filed under: uncultured fungus
Lineage: Eukaryota; Fungi
Description: eukaryotic LSU rRNA
Rfam family: 5.8S ribosomal RNA (bases 152-305)
Source: RNAcentral